GCAAGUCGAGGGGUAACAGGGGACUUCGUGUUCCGCUGACGACCGGCGCACGGGUGAGUAACGCGUAUGCAACCUACCUUUAACUGGGGGAUAGCCCGAAGAAAUUCGGAUUAAUACCCCAUAAAACUGUUAAUAAGCAUUUACUGACAGUAAAAACUCCGGUGGUUAGAGAUGGGCAUGCGUAACAUUAGUUAGUUGGUGAGGUAACGGCUCACCAAGGCGACGAUGUUUAGGGGGCCUGAGAGGGUGGUCCCCCACACUGGUACUGAGACACGGACCAGACUCCUACGGGAGGCAGCAGUGAGGAAUAUUGCGCAAUGGAGGCAACUCUGACGCAGCCAUGCCGCGUGCAGGAUGACGGCCCUACGGGUUGUAAACUGCUUUUAUACAGGAAGAAACCCAUCUACGCGUAGAUGGUUGACGGUACUGUAAGAAUAAGCAUCGGCUAACUCCGUGCCAGCAGCCGCGGUAAUACGGAGGAUGCGAGCGUUAUCCGGAUUCAUUGGGUUUAAAGGGUGCGUAGGCGGGAUAGUAAGUCAGUGGUGAAAUCCUGCAGCUUAACUGUAGAACUGCCAUUGAUACUGCUUUUCUUGAGUUCGGUUGAGGUAGGCGGAAUGUGUAAUGUAGCGGUGAAAUGCUUAGAUAUUACACAGAACACCGAUUGCGUAGGCAGCUUACUAAGCCGUAACUGACGCUGAGGCACGAAAGCGUGGGGAGCGAACAGGAUUAGAUACCCUGGUAGUCCACGCUGUAAACGAUGAUCACUAGCUGUUGGCGAUAUAUAGAUCAGCGGCAAA
This 797-nucleotide ribosomal RNA is filed under the name uncultured Bacteroidota bacterium. Its description in RNAcentral is "bacterial SSU rRNA". It matches the Rfam family "Bacterial small subunit ribosomal RNA", at positions 57 to 850 of the family's 1533-position model. Lineage: Bacteria; Pseudomonadati; Bacteroidota. The record is from RNAcentral.